CCUACGGGAGGCAGCAGUGAGGAAUAUUGGUCAAUGGGCGGGAGCCUGAACCAGCCAAGUCGCGUGAAGGAAGAAGGUACUUAGUAUUGUAAACUUCUUUUGUCGGGGAACAAAGGCGGAGACGCGUCUCCGGAUGAGUGUACCCGAAGAAAAAGCAUCGGCUAACUCCGUGCCAGCAGCCGCGGUAAUACGGAGGAUGCGAGCGUUAUCCGGAUUUAUUGGGUUUAAAGGGAGCGUAGGCGGGUUGUUAAGUCAGUUGUGAAAGUUUGCGGCUCAACCGUAAAAUUGCAGUUGAUACUGGCAUCCUUGAGUACAGUAGAGGUAGGUGGAAUUCGUGGUGUAGCGGUGAAAUGCUUAGAUAUCACGAAGAACUCCGAUUGCGAAGGCAGCCUGCUGGACUGUAACUGACGCUGAUGCUCGAAAGUGUGGGUAUCAAACAGGAUUAGAUACCCUAGUAGUC
This 460-nucleotide ribosomal RNA is filed under the name uncultured bacterium. RNAcentral describes it as "partial 16S ribosomal RNA". It matches the Rfam family "Bacterial small subunit ribosomal RNA", at positions 338 to 795 of the family's 1533-position model. The record is from RNAcentral.